GUAGUCUCGCACAGAUGCAUAUCAAUAAGCGGAGGAAAAGAAACUAACAAGGAUUCCCCUAGUAACGGCGAGUGAAGCGGGAAGAGCUCAAAUUUGAAAUCUUAAAGGUUUUCCCUUGACGAAUUGUAGUUUAAAGAAGUGUUUUCUGUUGAAGGUUUUGGUAAAAGUUCUUUGGAAUAGGACAUCAUAGAGGGUGAGAAUCCCGUAUUUGACCAUUACUUUCAGGCUGUGUGAUACACUUUCAAAGAGUCGGAUUGUUUGGGAAUGCAGUCCAAAAUGGGUGGUAAAUUUCAUCUAAAGCUAAAUAUUGGCGAGAGACCGAUAGCGAACAAGUACCGUGAGGGAAAGAUGAAAAGAACUUUGAAAAGAGAGUUAAACAGUACGUGAAAUUGUCAAAAGGGAAGCGUUUGACACCAGUGUUGUUUUCUCGAAAAUCAAUUAAAAAGAGUUAGAUUUUGUUGUGUAUUGACCUUAACAGCUUGCAUUUCAAUUUUCUUGCUUUUUUAAUGCACUUUUCGUUUAACAAGUCAACAUCAGUUUCUUUUGUUGUAAAAAGGUCAUUGGAAGGUGGCUUUCUUUUCGGAGAAAGUGUUUAUAGCCUUUGACUCCUGCAAUCGGAGAGACUGAGGUCUGCAGCGUAGAUCCUUCGGGGUUAGAUACAUUUGUGCUAAGUUAUAGCUUUUUAUAGACAACUUGUUGACUAUGAUUAGUCUUGUAGCUUACUCGCCUAUGCUAUUUUACCUACGCUUAGGAUGUUGAGCGCAUGUUCUCUCU
Molecule: ribosomal RNA, 774 nt
Filed under: uncultured Neocallimastigales
Lineage: Eukaryota; Fungi; Neocallimastigomycota; Neocallimastigomycetes; Neocallimastigales
Description: partial large subunit ribosomal RNA
Rfam family: Eukaryotic large subunit ribosomal RNA
Source: RNAcentral